This 253-nucleotide ribosomal RNA is filed under the name uncultured bacterium. RNAcentral describes it as "partial 16S ribosomal RNA". It matches the Rfam family "Bacterial small subunit ribosomal RNA", at positions 524 to 776 of the family's 1533-position model. The record is from RNAcentral.
UACGUAGGGGGCAAGCGUUGUCCGGAUUUAUUGGGCGUAAAGAGCGUGUAGGCGGCCAUACAGGUCGGCUGUGAAAACUCGAGGCUCAACCUCGAGACGUCGGUUGAAACCGUAUGGCUAGAGUCCGGAAGAGGAGAGUGGAAUUCCCGGUGUAGCGGUGAAAUGCGCAGAUAUCGGGAAGAACACCCGUGGCGAAGGCGGCUCUCUGGGACGGUACUGACGCUGAGACGCGAAAGCGUGGGGAGCGAACAGG